Molecule: ribosomal RNA, 464 nt
Filed under: Vreelandella stevensii
Lineage: Bacteria; Pseudomonadati; Pseudomonadota; Gammaproteobacteria; Oceanospirillales; Halomonadaceae
Description: partial 16S ribosomal RNA
Rfam family: Bacterial small subunit ribosomal RNA
Source: RNAcentral
CCUAGGGCGGCAGCAGUGGGGAAUAUUGGACAAUGGGCGAAAGCCUGAUCCAGCCAUGCCGCGUGUGUGAAGAAGGCCUUCGGGUUGUAAAGCACUUUCAGUGGGGAAGAAAGCCUUGGGGCUAAUACCCUCGAGGAAGGACAUCACCCACAGAAGAAGCACCGGCUAACUCCGUGCCAGCAGCCGCGGUAAUACGGAGGGUGCGAGCGUUAAUCGGAAUUACUGGGCGUAAAGCGCGCGUAGGCGGUCUGAUAAGCCGGUUGUGAAAGCCCCGGGCUCAACCUGGGAACGGCAUCCGGAACUGUCAGGCUAGAGUGCAGGAGAGGAAGGUAGAAUUCCCGGUGUAGCGGUGAAAUGCGUAGAGAUCGGGAGGAAUACCAGUGGCGAAGGCGGCCUUCUGGACUGACACUGACGCUGAGGUGCGAAAGCGUGGGUAGCAAACAGGAUUAGAUACCCUGGUAGUC